GGGCUUAUAACUCAGCGGUAGAGUGUACGCCUGAUAAGCGUAAAGUCGAUCGUUCAAUUCGAUCUAGGCUCA
Molecule: transfer RNA, 72 nt
Filed under: Pelagophycus porra
Lineage: Eukaryota; Phaeophyceae; Laminariales; Laminariaceae
Description: tRNA-Ile
Rfam family: tRNA
About the family: Transfer RNA (tRNA) molecules are approximately 80 nucleotides in length. Their secondary structure includes four short double-helical elements and three loops (D, anti-codon, and T loops).
Source: RNAcentral